CACGUAGGGCGCAAGCGUUGUCCGGAAUUAUUGGGCGUAAAGAGCUCGUAGGCGGUCUGUUGCGUCCGCUGUGAAAACUCGGGGCUUAACCCCGAGCCUGCAGUGGAUACGGGCAGACUAGAGGUAGGUAGGGGAGAAUGGAAUUCCCGGUGUAGCGGUGAAAUGCGCAGAUAUCGGGAGGAACACCGGUGGCGAAGGCGGUUCUCUGGGCCUUACCUGACGCUGAGGAGCGAAAGCGAGGGGAGCGAACAGG
Molecule: ribosomal RNA, 253 nt
Filed under: uncultured bacterium
Lineage: Bacteria
Description: partial 16S ribosomal RNA
Rfam family: Bacterial small subunit ribosomal RNA
Source: RNAcentral